CUUCGGCCCGAGUUGUAAUUUGCAGAGGAUGUUUAUGGUGCGGUACCUUCCGAGUUCCCUGGAACGGGACGCCACAGAGGGUGAGAGCCCCGUCUGGUUGGAUACCAAACCUGUGUUAAACUCCUUCAACGAGUCGAGUAGUUUGGGAAUGCUGCUCUAAAUGGGAGGUAAAUCUCUUCUAAAGCUAAAUACCGGCCAGAGACCGAUAGCGCACAAGUAGAGUGAUCGAAAGAUGAAAAGCACCUUGAAAAGGGGGUUAAACAGUACGUGAAAUUGUUGAAAGGGAAGCGUUUAUGACCAGACUUGUGCCGUGUGGCUCAUCCGAGGUUCUCCCCGGUGCACUCCACACGGCUCAGGCCAACAUCGGUUCUUGUUGGGGGAUAAGAAUAGUAGGAACGUGGCUCCCUUCGGGGAGUGUUAUAGCCUAUUAUACGAUACCCUGGCGGGGACCGAGGACCGCGCUUCGGCUAGGAUGUUGGCGUAAUGGUCAUUAGCGACCCGUCUUGAAACACGGACCAAGGAGUCGUCCAUUAGAGCGAGCGUUUGGGUGUAAAACCCGCACGCGUAAUGAAAGUGAAAUUAGGUGAGAGCUUCGGCGCAUCAUCGACCGAUCCUGAAGUUUACGGAUGGAUUUGAGUAAGAGUUUUAACGGACGGACCCGAAAGACAGUGAACUAUGCUUGAAUAGGGUGAAGCCAGAGGAAACUCUGGUGGAGGCUCGCAGCGGUUCUGACGUGCAAAUCGAUCGUCAAAUUUGAGCAUGGGGGCGAAAGACUAAUCGAACUGUCUAGUAGC
RNAcentral lists this ribosomal RNA (794 nucleotides) under Gnomonia orcispora. RNAcentral's name for it is "eukaryotic LSU rRNA". It matches the Rfam family "Eukaryotic large subunit ribosomal RNA", at positions 131 to 951 of the family's 3401-position model. The record is from RNAcentral. Lineage: Eukaryota; Fungi; Ascomycota; Sordariomycetes; Diaporthales; Gnomoniaceae.